This 1209-nucleotide ribosomal RNA is filed under the name Vibrio fluvialis. Its description in RNAcentral is "partial 23S ribosomal RNA". It matches the Rfam family "Bacterial large subunit ribosomal RNA", at positions 1606 to 2798 of the family's 2925-position model. Lineage: Bacteria; Pseudomonadati; Pseudomonadota; Gammaproteobacteria; Vibrionales; Vibrionaceae. The record is from RNAcentral.
UUCCAGGAAAAGCCUCUAAGCUUCAGAUUGUAAGGAAUCGUACCCCAAACCGACACAGGUGGUCGGGUAGAGAAUACCAAGGCGCUUGAGAGAACUCGGGUGAAGGAACUAGGCAAAAUGGUACCGUAACUUCGGGAGAAGGUACGCUCUUGAUGGUGAAGUCCCUCGCGGAUGGAGCUGAUGAGAGUCGCAGAUACCAGGUGGCUGCAACUGUUUAUUAAAAACACAGCACUGUGCAAAAUCGUAAGAUGACGUAUACGGUGUGACGCCUGCCCGGUGCCGGAAGGUUAAUUGAUGGGGUUAGCGUAAGCGAAGCUCUUGAUCGAAGCCCCGGUAAACGGCGGCCGUAACUAUAACGGUCCUAAGGUAGCGAAAUUCCUUGUCGGGUAAGUUCCGACCUGCACGAAUGGCGUAAUGAUGGCCACGCUGUCUCCACCCGAGACUCAGUGAAAUUGAAAUCGCUGUGAAGAUGCAGUGUACCCGCGGCUAGACGGAAAGACCCCGUGAACCUUUACUACAGCUUGGCACUGAACAUUGAACCUACAUGUGUAGGAUAGGUGGGAGGCUUUGAAGACGUGACGCUAGUUGCGUUGGAGCCGUCCUUGAAAUACCACCCUUGUAUGUUUGAUGUUCUAACUUAGCCCCGUUAUCCGGGGUGAGGACAGUGCCUGGUGGGUAGUUUGACUGGGGCGGUCUCCUCCCAAAGAGUAACGGAGGAGCACGAAGGUGGGCUAAUCACGGUUGGACAUCGUGAGGUUAGUGCAAUGGCAUAAGCCCGCUUAACUGCGAGAAUGACGGUUCGAGCAGGUGCGAAAGCAGGUCAUAGUGAUCCGGUGGUUCUGUAUGGAAGGGCCAUCGCUCAACGGAUAAAAGGUACUCCGGGGAUAACAGGCUGAUACCGCCCAAGAGUUCAUAUCGACGGCGGUGUUUGGCACCUCGAUGUCGGCUCAUCACAUCCUGGGGCUGAAGUCGGUCCCAAGGGUAUGGCUGUUCGCCAUUUAAAGUGGUACGCGAGCUGGGUUUAGAACGUCGUGAGACAGUUCGGUCCCUAUCUGCCGUGGGCGUUGGAAGAUUGAAGGGGGCUGCUCCUAGUACGAGAGGACCGGAGUGGACGAACCUCUGGUGUUCGGGUUGUGUCGCCAGACGCAUUGCCCGGUAGCUAAGUUCGGAAUCGAUAACCGCUGAAAGCAUCUAAGCGGGAAGCGAGCC